Molecule: ribosomal RNA, 482 nt
Filed under: uncultured bacterium
Lineage: Bacteria
Description: partial 16S ribosomal RNA
Rfam family: Bacterial small subunit ribosomal RNA
Source: RNAcentral
AUUGAACGCUGGCGGCAUGCUUUACACAUGCAAGUCGAACGGUAACAGGCCGCAAGGUGCUGACGAGUGGCGAACGGGUGAGUAAUGCAUCGGAACGUGCCCAGUCGUGGGGGAUAACUACUCGAAAGAGUAGCUAAUACCGCAUACGAUCUAUGGAUGAAAGCGGGGGACCGUAAGGCCUCGCGCGAUUGGAGCGGCCGAUGUCAGAUUAGGUAGGUGGUGGGGUAAAGGCUCACCAAGCCAACCAUCUGUAGCUGGUCUGAGAGGACGACCAGCCACACUGGGACUGAGACACGGCCCAGACUCCUACGGGAGGCAGCAGUGGGGAAUUUUGGACAAUGGGCGCAAGCCUGAUCCAGCAAUGCCGCGUGCAGGAAGAAGGCCUUCGGGUUGUAAACUGCUUUUGUACGGAACGAAACGGCUCUGGUUAAUACCCGGGGCUAAUGACGGUACCGUAAGAAUAAGCACCGGCUAACUACGUG